This 1614-nucleotide long non-coding RNA is filed under the name Pogona vitticeps (central bearded dragon). RNAcentral describes it as "lncRNA (ENSPVIG00000003863.1)". Lineage: Eukaryota; Metazoa; Chordata; Lepidosauria; Squamata; Agamidae. The record is from RNAcentral.
ACUUCUCAAUAGUUCUUGUGGGAAGAAACCCCCUUGCCUUCUGAGAAACCGAGGCAUCGAGUGAAACUGUCAGAAUGAAUCUCGUCCAUUAUUACUUCAGGCUUUGCUGCUCCUUUCUUUCCUCGCUCCUUUCUGGGAGGUCGUGGUGAUGAGCCCACCAAGAUUAUAGAAACAUUUCUCAUCCCCGGAAGCCACCACUCUGGUCUGUGAAGGAACCUCAUGUAUAGAGGCCACCAUCAUCCCAUCGUCCGAUCAAUCACAGAGCUGAGUGGUGUCCUUGGAACCCCUCAGAGGCUGCCCCGAUGUUCCAUAGAGCCCAGGAGAGCCUUUCUUAGGGAGAGCCACAGAGAUCUACAGAGGCCACCUCGCCUUCUGAGAAACCAAGGAGUUGGGUGAAACUCUCAGAACGAAUCUCAUCACAGAAUGGGGAGGAAUUGUGCAUGUUUCUGUUAUUCCUUACACUUUCCUGCUCCUUUCCUCACUCCCGUUAUGUCACAAAUUACAGGGCAGGAUCUUCCCAUUUUGUAUCUUCUCUUGUUUGUUCAUUUAUUCAAUGUCAGUUCAUAGACCUCUGGUUCUAGACCUGGUGUCUGUCAACACAGGACGUGGUGGACAAAAUUACUGGGCAUGGAUGAAGAUGCCAUAGUCCUGUGCCACGUGGGUUAAUGAAUGAUCAGAGGCAAAGAUAGAAAGGGGCCCUUUAUCCCCACCUGGGUUUACCUCGUUCAGAAACAGCCUGAGUUCCCAGUGCUUCCAGACUCACCAUGAUGAAGUUCCUGGUCCUCAUUGUGGCGUUGGUUAUCACCACAGGAUCCCGGGCUUCCGCAGCACCAGAGCGAGUUUCAAAGGUGAAGGAAUUGAGGGAUUCCUUCAAGGGACUUCCAAUGUUAUCCAUAGUCAUCUGGGGUAUGGCAGACAGAAGCAAGACAGCCCCGGAAUUGUCAGACCUGUACCAUAAUGUAAGCCGACAAUUGAGUAACUUCCGCCGAGAAAUUCCAUCAGAGAUCAAAGAACCAUUGGAGUUGGUGGGUGCUGUAUUAGAAGGUGUCAUCAGGAAAACCUAUCGUGCUGUAAUUGACCUGAACGACAAGCAGGACAUCGAAGAACCACUGAUAGACGGACUGUCGUAUUAUUUUGACUCAGUCCUGGAGAGAUUGGAACCCUAUUUCGAGUCCUUCAGACCUAUCCUCAAUGACGAACUGAGAUACAUAGAUGCGAAAUUGCCGGAGUAUUUUAAACCUCUCGACGAUCAGCUCUUCUUUUAUCUUAAGAAGUUGGAAGACGCUCAACCGACUCUCCAAGCUGCCGCCGACCAAACGCUGACUCGUAUCAGACAAGGGCUGGAGGCUCUCCACAAGAACCUGAAUCCUUACCUUAAACCCCUUCUGGAGGAGAGCAAAAAACACCAAACAGAGUUUUGGGAGUGGGUUCACGCCCCCAUAUUUCCCCCAGACCCGUGAUUAUUUUUUUUCCAUGAGUAAGGAGGAGCGAUGCAUUGUUGAUCUCCAAAGAAAAGCGGUGUGGCCGGGGUGACUGAAAUAAUGUGGUGCAUGGUGAUUUGUAACAAACAAACAAACCCCAACAGCUGAUGUAAUAAAGGAUACGUCCCCAACA